This is a small nuclear RNA of Dermacentor albipictus, 183 nucleotides long. RefSeq annotates it as U2 spliceosomal RNA. Lineage: Eukaryota; Metazoa; Arthropoda; Arachnida; Ixodida; Ixodidae. The record is from RefSeq and is a predicted model, not a curated record.
AUGGCUGCCGACGCUGGUCAAAGUAUGGUAUGUGUCCUUAUCAGCUUAACAUCUGAUACUGGUUGUAUUUGUACUGAAGAUAUUUAACUUAGUUUUGCAAUAUGGCAGAGUGCUUUAAGCCUGCUUCACCUUCGCCGCAGGUCGGCCCGGUAUUGCACAGUCUUCGGAGUCGGCCAAGGUUUU